Non-coding RNA from Neolamprologus brichardi, 198 nucleotides. The record is from RefSeq and is a predicted model, not a curated record. Lineage: Eukaryota; Metazoa; Chordata; Actinopteri; Cichliformes; Cichlidae.
AGCAACCUGUUGACCGGGGUCGGCUGCUCGUUGCAGAGGGUCAUUCACAUCUUGGACAUGGCGGGUCGGGACCGGGUCGUUCACCUGCUUAGGCAACUCGAGCGCGCGGCGUGCAGAUGUCCUGCUCACUCCAACACCUUCCACCAGGGUGUCAGAGCGGCACCCUGCACCGUCCGGAAAACUGACUAUGCCUUUGAG